UACGGAGGGGGCUAGCGUUGUUCGGAAUUACUGGGCGUAAAGCGCACGUAGGCGGCUUUGCAAGUUAGAGGUGAAAGCCCGGGGCUCAACCCCGGAAUUGCCUUUAAAACUGCAUCGCUAGAAUUGUGGAGAGGUAAGUGGAAUUCCGAGUGUAGAGGUGAAAUUCGUAGAUAUUCGGAAGAACACCAGUGGCGAAGGCGACUUACUGGACACAUAUUGACGCUGAGGCACGAAAGCCAGGGGAGCAAACGGG
RNAcentral lists this ribosomal RNA (253 nucleotides) under uncultured bacterium. RNAcentral describes it as "partial 16S ribosomal RNA". It matches the Rfam family "Bacterial small subunit ribosomal RNA", at positions 524 to 776 of the family's 1533-position model. The record is from RNAcentral.